UACGGAGGAAAAGAAACCAACAGGGAUUGCCUCAGUAACGGCGAGUGAAGCGGCAUAAGCUCAAAUUUGAAAUCUGGCUCUUUCGGGGUCCGAAUUGUAAUUUGUAGAAGAUGCUUCGAGUGUGGUUCCGGUCUAAGUUCCUUGGAACAGGACGUCAUAGAGGGUGAGAAUCCCGUAUGUGACUGGAUACCUUCAUUCAUGUGAAGCUCUUUCGACGAGUCGAGUUGUUUGGGAAUGCAGCUCAAAAUGGGUGGUAAAUUUCAUCUAAAGCUAAAUAUUGGCCAGAGACCGAUAGCGCACAAGUAGAGUGAUCGAAAGAUGAAAAGCACUUUGGAAAGAGAGUUAAACAGUACGUGAAAUUGUUGAAAGGGAAGCGCUUGCAAUCAGACUUGCGCCUAGUUGAUCAUCCAGGCUUCUGUCUGGUGCACUCAAUUAGGCUCAGGCCAGCAUCGGUUUGGGUGGUUGGAUAAAGGCCUUGGGAAUGUAGCCCUCUUCGGGGUAG
RNAcentral lists this ribosomal RNA (502 nucleotides) under Lambertella sp. FC-2675. RNAcentral's name for it is "eukaryotic LSU rRNA". It matches the Rfam family "Eukaryotic large subunit ribosomal RNA", at positions 49 to 554 of the family's 3401-position model. The record is from RNAcentral. Lineage: Eukaryota; Fungi; Ascomycota; Leotiomycetes; Helotiales; Rutstroemiaceae.